RNAcentral lists this ribosomal RNA (521 nucleotides) under Wickerhamiella versatilis. RNAcentral's name for it is "LSU rRNA". It matches the Rfam family "Eukaryotic large subunit ribosomal RNA", at positions 62 to 648 of the family's 3401-position model. The record is from RNAcentral. Lineage: Eukaryota; Fungi; Ascomycota; Dipodascomycetes; Dipodascales; Trichomonascaceae.
AAACCAACCGGGAUUGCCCUAGUAACGGCGAGUGAAGCGGCCAAAGCCCAAAUUUGAAAUCCUCUUUUGAGGAGUUGUAAUUUGGAGAUGGAGUGCUGGACUCAGCUCUGUGGAAGUUGGCUGGAAAGCCGCGCCUUGGAGGGUGAUAGCCCCGUGCCACGGAGGUCCUGUGUCUGUGUAGUACUCUUUCUACGAGUCGCGUUGUUUGGGAAUGCAGCGCUAAGUGGGUGGUAAAUUCCAUCUAAGGCUAAAUAUUGGCGAGAGACCGAUAGCGAACAAGUACUGUAAAGGAAAGAUGAAAAGCACUUUGAAAAGAGAGUGAAAUAGCACGUGAAAUCGUUGAAGUGGAAGGGCUUAAAGCUACACACCUUCUUCGGAAGGGGCUAACAUCAGUUUUGCCGGAUGGAUAAAUGGUAAAGAAAGUGGCAUCUUCGGAUGUGUUAUAGCUUUAUCAAAUACGUCCCGGCGGGAUUGAGGACCGCGCUUUAUGCAAGGAUGUGGGCGUAAGGGUUUUAACCAAC